GGUUCUAAUGGUACUAAUAACGGUUCACAAAAACUAUUCAAUGUGUUAUUCCACGGGUCGCAACCCUUAGCCGGAAUAAAGUCAAUCUCAACGGUUGCGUCGUUUCGUUUUUUUGAUUCAGCGCUCCACCGAAAUCAAGGGACGCAACCCUUCGCAGAAAUCCCGACAGGACUUAUAGUUGAUAUCAGAUGGUGUGGAUAAUCGAACAACCUGCGUUUUUCUGCAAGUCUUCAUCCUGCCAUGGCCAUAUCAAUUAAAUUGCAGGGCGAACAAAAAUGGUGAGGUAAAGGUAGAGAAUUACAGGCAAUGAUUGGAUGAUUUUGGUGUACACUACGGUUUCGAUUUUGGUUGUUCGCUGUGAAAGAUUUUCGAUACCUCGAUUUAUU
This 386-nucleotide long non-coding RNA is filed under the name Helianthus annuus (common sunflower). RNAcentral's name for it is "sRNA HanXRQr2_Chr03g0126061". The record is from RNAcentral. Lineage: Eukaryota; Viridiplantae; Streptophyta; Magnoliopsida; Asterales; Asteraceae.